GACAGAGGGUGCAAACGUUGUUCGGAAUUACUGGGCGUAAAGCGCGUGUAGGCUGCUUCGCAAGUCGGGUGUGAAAGCCCUGGGCUCAACCUAGGAAGUGCACUCGAAACUGCGAGCUUGAGUCCUGGAGAGGAAGGCGGAAUUCUCGGUGUAGAGGUGAAAUUCGUAGAUAUCGAGAGGAACACCGGUGGCGAAGGCGGCCUUCUGGACAGUGACUGACGCUGAGACGCGAAAGCGUGGGGGGCAAACAGG
RNAcentral lists this ribosomal RNA (252 nucleotides) under uncultured bacterium. RNAcentral's name for it is "partial 16S ribosomal RNA". It matches the Rfam family "Bacterial small subunit ribosomal RNA", at positions 524 to 776 of the family's 1533-position model. The record is from RNAcentral.